Molecule: small RNA, 182 nt
Filed under: Streptomyces mutabilis
Lineage: Bacteria; Bacillati; Actinomycetota; Actinomycetes; Kitasatosporales; Streptomycetaceae
Description: Streptomyces luteus c-di-AMP sequence
Rfam family: c-di-AMP riboswitch aptamer (ydaO/yuaA leader)
About the family: This family represents a conserved RNA structure found upstream of the ydaO and yuaA genes in Bacillus subtilis and related genes in other bacteria. The ydaO/yuaA element is thought to act as a genetic "off" switch for the ydaO and yuaA genes in its native state. It is believed that the element may be triggered during osmotic shock leading to activation of ydaO, a predicted amino acid transporter gene, and members of the yuaA-yubG operon which code for KtrA and KtrB K+ transporters.
Source: RNAcentral
GCGCGGCCUCCGCCGAGUCCGGCGUGUCCGCACGGCACCCGGAGCCGGGGACCCAACCGAGAACAUUGGGGUGAAUCGGCGCACACCGCCCUCGCCGGGGCGCACGCCGUAGGGCAACCCUUCCGGAUCCACUCCGCCCGAACCCGACAGCUAACCCGGUAGGCGGAUCAGUGGAAGGAGUC